GCGGCCACUGUACCUGUCUCGUCUACGCCAUCGAAAUCCACGCCCCCUGGCCAGCCUCCAGCCCCCGCCGCGGCCACUGUGCGGAUGAACCCAGCGCACGCGGCUCGCGGGGGGUUUCGGCGCACACUUGGAAUUUCGUGGUCCACCGCGGCGAGACCGGAGGGCGCGGGAGGUACGGCGCGCGGCCGUCGGCUCUUCCAAUGCGGCCGCGCAGGCCGGAGCGCGCGAGGCAACCGCAGGUCGGUGGCAAGCGGCGGCGGCGGCGGAACAGCUUCUUCAGGUCACCUCUUGAUUCCUGCCUGGAAUGAAAAUGACGGCAGGGGCUCUGUAUCCUAAACUGGCCAGAAACGAGUUGAAACGCUAAUCCAAACGGGGCCUAACAGUGUGACGAUCUAACUUUCGAUAAAACAAGCUGCUCUCAUUCGCUAGUGAUGUUUCAAGACAAAUCAUGAAACUGCAAGCAUUGGUUUUCAUUCUACAUUACAUCAGACAUCAUCAGAUGUAAUUCGGAAUAGCACUGCCUUGCUGUCUCGGCUUCUGUGGAAGUGCCCCAAUGAAGUGGACUUCUUUGCAGGUUUUAUUACAGUAUGUUGCAAUCUUCCAUAAUAUUCUGAGGUGCCAAUAUUAUUAUGAUACAUUGUUUUAUAUUUUUAUUAUAUAUACACUUUGGCGCAGUGGUAAAGCUGCUGCCUUGGAAACAGCCUCUUACAGAAAUGUAGGGAAAGGCUGCGUACUAUAGACCCAAAGUGGUCGGACCCUUCCCCGGACCCUGCGCAAGCGGGCGCUACAUGCACCGGGCUGCCCUUUAUUAUAUAUACACUUUGAAUGAGUGCUUCCACAGGAUCAUUUAAUAUAUCAAUAGCUAUAUGUCCCCAAUAUUUGAUGUUAGCAAACAUUUCAUAUGGGCACUGUAUCAGAGUAAAUAUAGGUAUACAUUUGUGAGAGGAACGAAAAAUCCAGUUUAUGUUAUUAUACAGAUUCAUGUCAUUGGUCCGCAAUUACAUGUCAUGGGCUGAAAAAUGGAAUUAUUAUCUGAGCACACAUUAUACAGGGAAUGCAAAGAGGUACUGGUGAUCUGCCCUAGAUAUGACCACCAAAAUAUCACUUGAUUCUCCUUCAUAGCUGUACCACUUAUUUUAUAAAUGAGCAUCCAUAAACUGUGUCUCCUGAGCCGUCCUUUUCUGAUUCUGUGAAAAAGAGAUACAUGUGCAUUUGGUCAAGUAUUAUCUAUUAAUGCAUAUCAUAUUAACCAAAAGGCACUAUAAAUUGAGCUGAACUUUUAUAUUUGUUAUGUACUCCCUCCGCUCGAAAAUAAGAACUAAAACCAUGAUAUUUAUUUUGGAAUGGAGGGAGUAGUAGUUACUUUAUUUUCCUGUGCUUAAAUGAUGGAAUGUGAUUAUUUUUCAUCGUCCAUUUAUUUAUUGACUAUACAUGAAACUUGCUUGUACAUCAUUCUUCUUGGACAGACUCUUGAGAUCUUACACUGAUAUCCUGUGUACUAUGAGUUGACAAAUCAUGCAUCACACCUUGUAUAGAAUGUUUUUUUUCCAAAAUAAGUUUUUCAAUUGAUAAUGCUAUAUAAGUUCUUCAUAGUUGAAAAAAAAGUAAAAACAUAAAAGUUCUUUCGAGCAUUAACAAUCAAGCUCUUUCAUACUAUGUGGUUUAUAGUUUCGUUCUCAUAUGUUUUAUUCUUUGAUUAAUUAAGCGGGUUGUAUUCUCCGGCUUCAUUAAUGAAGGCCAAUUUAUUCUCAUCUAAUAUUAUGUAUUUAUAUGUGUGCUCUCAGUGAUGGAUAGUUUGGUGAUAUCGUGCCUGUAUCCAGAUGAUAUGCACUCUCAUUUUAACUGCAAUCAGAUUUUUUAACUGUCAUAUAAUCUCUGACAGAUCUGCAAUCACCAAGGUACCCACAGAAAUAUCUAUCUACGUACUAUCUAACUGAUCAUGCUGGAGUGGAGCUGCUGCUGGCAUACUUUAGCUUAUUUACAUACUUUCUGAGUCAAAAGGUUCGCUGUUUAUUAUCUGCUAUUUUGUCUUUCUAAACUGGCGAUGAUCAAUGCUGAAAAUACUUUACGAGUCUGUAUACAUAUUGCAAGUCAACAGCAUUCAGCUCAUUUUUACUGGCACCACAUGGAGUUUAUGUUUAGCGAUAUUCCUUGCACACAUGCAUAAAUUUGUUUCAAGUCUGACAGUAGCAGCUGGAGCGCCAAAGUCAUUCGCAGCGAGCCCCUGCCACCCGCCACCGUUGCCUGGAAAAUUGCCGCCUAUGUUCUCCUGUGGUGCUGCUGAUGCUCCUGCUCUAUGUGUAAGUCAAUUUUGGCAUGGAUCCAGAAUUUAUCCACGUCGCUGUUAUGAUGGCAGGUGUUUCAUCUUUCUGCUUUGGACUAGGGCUUCUAAAUUUGGCUGAGAUCAGCUCGUAGUGCCUCUCUUUGAACCUCUCCUCUGCGACUCUGCAAAAAAUGGUCUGCUAUCUCCCCUGGCUAAAUAGAAAAUAUUCAGGAAAAGACGUGCUUCUGGCUUUGGCAUGCUGUGAAAAAUACUAUUAUGCACCCAAUGAAUGGGUACUGUUGGUUUGCUAUCCAAAUUUUGACAAUAUCAAGACUGGCCAAAAUUGGCACCUUUUUGUGAGGUUGGCAGAAUUUUUUUUGGCAAUCAACCAAUCACUAGCCAAUAUUUGGCAAGCUUGUAACCAACCAAUCACUAGCCAAAUAAAUAUUGGCAUGGGGGGUAUCGCGUGUGUUAAGGGAUUUGGCCUGCUUUAAACAAACACGUACAGAGUUUGUACUAGAAGCUUAAUAGGCACCUCUAGUGGUCAUGAAAGAACCAAAAAGAUUUAGACAACAUUGGCACAUGAUGCAUAUGCCUUACCAGAAAAUUUAGAAUCCAAACUCGAUCAAUACACCAAGAAAUAAGAAAAGACAACCCCACUAUGAGUAGUACCCGGAAGCCACUAUUCACAGUAAAAUUGAAUUCACUACUAUUUCUGACUUGAUUUGGUCUUGAAAUUUCUUGCUGCGGUAGACACCUGACAUGCCAGUGUUGUAAAAAAUUGCAGAACUUUUCAUGACAAUUGGAGAUGGUUAAGUGUGUCUUAUUGCACUAGCACAUCUCAUGUGCCUAGAGCACGCAAUAUCCCCUUGUUCAGUCGUAUACUUCAGAAAUAUAUCUUUCUUGCUCCUAUUCUAUCCCUUUAUAUGGCAGGAGUAGAUUUAUAAAUUGUGACUAUCAAAUAGGUUUGAAAUUGAAUACAGUGUCUUUCUUAGUUCAAUAUAAUCUGAAACUUGUACUUACUAUAUUUAUUCUCUUUAUAUUCCAUUUGGUGUUCAGAGUAAAGACUAGUUAUUCCUUGCAUUCUUAGUGCGAAAUUUCUUUGUGGGUACUAAUACUGGAGUUCUCUUAAAAUCAUAUACGCCGCAAUGAUGUGGUCAGUGUCGAGUCAUACUCCCUCUGUUCCAAGUUACUUGAAGUUUUAGCUUUGUCCUAAGUCAAGCUUUUUAAACUUUGAACAAGUAUAUAAAAAAUAUGCUAAUAUCUACAACAUAAAAAUGUAUAUUGUAUGAAAACAUAAUUUAUGAAAAAUCUAAUGAAACUAAUUUGGUAUUGUAAAUUUGAUAUAUCUUUUUGCAGACUUAAAGAUGUUUUGACAUAGCAAAGCUAGAACUUCAAAUAAUUUGGAACAGAGGGAGUACUUGUCAAGCAUUAAUGUUUGUUCUCUUUCGAGAAAACUGAUAUUUUUGAUAUUGAUCUGCAUUUGGUAGCCCUUGUAUAAUACUAAUUUUGGUUUCAUGAAAUGACCGAAGCUUCAUUUGUGACAUGUCUUGCAAACAAAUCCUGAUUUAGUUUUCUGACAUUAACAGAGUGAUCUCUUUUGUUGUUGGUUCAUGAUGACACAUGCAUCUGGGCAUCUUAUUACAGCUACCGACUUCCUGUGUGACUUCUUCUUAUGUAAAAGACAAAAUCACAUCUAAAUAAUGUGCCAUCUGUUCUAUCUGUAUAUUCAAGCACUUUCAGACUCAUGCAAUACUUGUCAUGGAGGGCUGUGGAUUUGUUGUGACCAUGUGUUCUAGACUUUCUAGACGACAAUAUCAGUGUUAGCAUGAAGCCCAUAUAUUGGAGUCCAAUAAAACCAUGUUCCAUCAUCUAUCAACCAUUCAACUUUGAGGUAAUGAAGGAUGCUCAUUGUGGAACGUGUUUUGCUUCGAAUACAAAACGUAAUUCUCAUGUCACAAUUAAAACAGUUGAUGCUGAAAAGUUUCAUCAUUUUUAUUAUGAUUUUCUUUGAAUAAAAGUUAGAUAUAGAGCCUUACUAGUUACUCCGCAUUGUUCCCUUCAGAAAGCUGCAUCAGUAAUUAACUCAUUAUUAUGGUUUAUCGAUGCUGAGAAUUCACCCAUGAUACCUUGCAUCGGGAAAAUGUUUUAGUUUUUGUGCUAAUAAUGAGGUAAAGCUCUCGUUAACAUCGUCACCUUUGGGCUUUUAGCCAAUAAAGUAAAGUGCCCUAUUCAAAGGGCAUGAACAGGACAACACUGAUUACUUGAGGAAAGAAGUUGUCCAUUCUUUUUUGUAUCGAAAAGGGAAUGCGGUGCUUUCGUAACAUGGUUACAUUGCUGAUGCACCUCCUGGUUCCUGUCCUACAUGAUUAAAGAUUUUCUUUUGUGUAUACAUAAUCUUUGAGGUACAAUACUGCAAGUACAAUUUCCGCCGUCAUGUGAGAGCCUUGAGGAAUCUUUUGUCACACAGUGCGUUCUGUACAUCCUUCGGACUUUCAUUUUGGUCAAGGGGUACCACAAGAAAGCCAAUCUCUUAUCUUAAAAAAAAUCAUGGAUUAGCAUAAAAUAAUGGCAAAGGAAUGAUGAUAUCGUCUGAUAUAUACAUAUGGAAUGUACAGAUCUGAUGUCAAGUGGAGGUUGAACUCGUAUCCAAGCCUUUUGUACUUAUGUUUUUUAUUCAUGCAUUUCCAUUGCAGAUAGAACAGUAAUAAGAUAUUCUUUUUACUUCCCAUAUAUACAUAUAUAGACUGGAAUUCUUUUAUGUCUUGAGUAGAGAUUGAACUAGCUUGAGAUGCUAAGAGCUGGCUAGCUAGAGAUGCAUACCUUUUAUGCUUUGCAUACUUAUUCAUGUAUUUCCAUGAUGGGAGUUGACACAAAUGCAGGCAUUAGAGUUUUAUCAACAAUGCUUGAGGGCCAAACACCAGAAGAAGAGAACUAGGUGUAGCCAAGGACAACUUGCCGGCUAACUCUUAAGGCUCAACGAACUCCCAACACCAGGAGCCGGCAAGUCAUCCUUGGCUGCAUCCCGUUCUCUGCCUCGUAGCGUAUGGCAGCCCAGCAGAAGCCUCCCCAGUAUAUGCUCUACAGGUACUUCUGGGCUCUUGCCCGUUCUUCCUCUUCCCCUACCCUGACUGCUUUGCUAUCAUGUGGAAUGGUCUGCUGGUGUGCAUUGCCGCAGGGUGGGAUGGUCUUCAUUUAUAGGCACGAGCAAGUUGGAUGUGAAAUAAUAUGGAGAUAGCUGCCCAAUGAGUUAUAUACUGCAAAAUAUUUCACCACAAAGUCUUCCGUUUUGGGGAUGAGACAUGAUGAGUCACCAAUUGGUUAUCCUGGGUCCGAUGUCCAUUUUAAAUAAGCAUAGUGGCCCAUGGCCAUGAGGGUUCGGCAUCUUUUGGAUUGGUUGGUUGAGAGGAUUAGCAUUUGAUCUGUGCUGCAUGUGGAGCUUGUGGACAUGCGGUGGACGUGGUGCGCAACUCUUGACCUAAGCAAAUUUUAUAGAGUUCUUUGUAGUCCAUUCCCAAACAUUUUAGAAUUACAAAAGCUUGUCAAGUACUACCUCUAGUAUUGGACAAUUAUAAACCCAUGGAUAGUAAACAUUCUCCCUUCGUUCUAUUAAAAGGCAUCCUCAAUAUAUGCUAGUAGGACCAUUUUCACCAUGAUUUUGUUUACUAUAUUGAGAAUUUUAAUGUUCAACUAACAACCAAAUUCUGAAAAAAAAAUGGUAUGCAGUGAUCUUCAGUUUGAUUCUUGGAAGGACCAGCCUAGCUGUCCUUGUAAAAAGGUAGGUUAAAACUUAUUUUGCAGACAUGCAUGUGCCUCUUAGGACUGAAAGUAGACUGGAGCAUUUUGCCCAUCCUGCAUAAGAAUCUGGUAAUCACUCUAGAAAAAUAUGUUGUACUCCGUUCCUAAAUAUAAGCCCUUUUAAAGAUUCUAUAAUAUGGACCACAUACGAAACAAAAUGAGUGAAUCUACACUCUAAAAUACAUAUGCCGGUGUGUCCUGUUUUUUUAUUUUCUGGGCUUGUUGAGUUGUGCCCUCAGCAGAUCCUCUGUACUUUGUUGUGAGACCUGGGUGUGUGUAUGGACUUGACUCUGUAUGUGUGCUCGUUGGCGGUUUAAUUUAUUUAUAAAGCAGGGUGAUAGCCUUUUUCAGUAAAUACAUACGUAUGUAGUCCGUUUUAAAAUCUCUAGAAGGGCUUAUAUUUAGAAACGGACGGAAUAUGAAACAGUUGCAUGCUUCUAUUGGUUACAUCAAUUUUCUAAUUAGAAAUGUUUGCUCUUAAUUUAUGUUAAAAACUGUUAGAGAUAUAUUUGGGUUACUUGUAUUUGGUAGUCUAGGAUUUGUAAUCCUUCUCCUACCUUAUCUUCAGGAGAGGCUUCUUGCCCUUCAAGUUUUGUAUUCAAUAUAUACUCGCCCUCGAGGCUCAAUAAUACAUGCAUCAUAUUCCGCCAAUCCCUCUCUCCCUUGUAACAAAAACUUUCAAUUCUCACAAAAAUCUUUGGGAAUUUUUGCGGUAAUUUAUGCAAUCUUGCGUGAUGGCAACAUAUUGUCUUGUGAUACUUUUGCAAAUCGUGUAGCAAAUCUCACAUAUGUACUUGCCAUAAUUGUUGGUGUACUCAAAGGCUAGGGGGUGUCGAGUAUAGAUGUAUCAAAUCAAAACCUAGCAAGCGAUCAAAGGUUAGUGAGUCCUACGAUUAUAGCCGAUCUUAAGACAUUAAGACAUCAUAGCAAUUCCACGGUCAGUGUUUGCUGUGGCCAACAUUUCAGUCACACCAGGGACAUUGUGUCCCCAAUCAAUCGAUCCUGCAAGCUAC
Molecule: long non-coding RNA, 7074 nt
Organism: Triticum aestivum (bread wheat)
Lineage: Eukaryota; Viridiplantae; Streptophyta; Magnoliopsida; Poales; Poaceae
Exons: 4
Source: RefSeq, a predicted model, not a curated record